CUACGGGAUGCACCAGUAGGGAAUAUUGCCCAAUGGACGAAAGUCUGAGGCAGCAACGCCGCGUGCGCGAUGAAGGCCUUCGGGUUGUAAAGCGCUUUUACGAGGGAAGAGAAAGGACGGUACCUCGUGAAUAAGGAUCGGCUAACUACGUGCCAGCAGCCGCGGUAACACGUAGGAUUCGAACGUUAUCCGGAUUUACUGGGCGUAAAGCGCGUGCAGGCGGUUUGGUAAGUUGGAUGUGAAAGCUCCAGGCUCAACCUGGAGAGGUCGUUCAAUACUGCCAGACUAGAGGACGGUAGAGGGAGGUGGAAUUCCGGGUGUAGUGGUGAAAUGCGUAGAUAUCCGGAGGAACACCAGUGGCGAAGGCGGCCUCCUGGGCCGUUCCUGACGCUCAGACGCGAAAGCUAGGGUAGCGAACGGGAUUAGAUACCCGAGUAGUC
This 440-nucleotide ribosomal RNA is filed under the name uncultured bacterium. RNAcentral's name for it is "partial 16S ribosomal RNA". It matches the Rfam family "Bacterial small subunit ribosomal RNA", at positions 339 to 795 of the family's 1533-position model. The record is from RNAcentral.